GCACAGGUCCGCCUCAGGAUGGGGCUGCGGCCCAUCAGGUAGUUGGCGGGGUAAAGGCCCACCAAGCCGAUAACGGGUGCGGGCUCUGGAAGGAGGAGCCCGGAGAUGGGCACUGAGACAAGGGCCCAGGUCCUACGGGGCGCAGCAGGUGCGAAACCUCCACAAUGCGGGAAACCGCGAUGGGGUUACCCCGAGUGUCGCCCGCUGAGGGCGACUUUUCUGGGGUCUAAAAAGCCCCAGGAAUAAGGGGAGGGCAAGUCUGGUGUCAGCCGCCGCGGUAAUACCAGCUCCCCGAGUGGUCGGGACGUUUAUUGGGCCUAAAGCGCCCGUAGCCGGCCCGGUGUGUCUCCCGUCAAAUCCGCCGGCUCAACCGGCGGACCGCGGGGGAUACUAUCGGGCUAGGGGGCGGGAGAGGUCGGGGGUACUCCCGGGGUAGGGGUAAAAUCCUCUGAUCCCGGGAAGACCACCGGUGGCGAAGGCGUCCGGCCAGAACGCGCCCGACGGUGAGGGGCGAAAGCUGGGGGAGCGAACCGGAUUAGAUACCCGGGUAGUCCCAGCUGUAAACGAUGCGGGCUAGGUGCUGGAGGGGCUACGGGCCCCUCCAGUGCCGCAGGGAAGCCGUUAAGCCCGCCGCCUGGGGAGUACGGCCGCAAGGCUGAAACUUAAAGGAAUUGGCGGGGGGGCACACAAGGGGUGAAGCCUGCGGUUCAAUGGAGUCAACGC
RNAcentral lists this ribosomal RNA (723 nucleotides) under uncultured Nitrososphaerota archaeon. RNAcentral's name for it is "bacterial SSU rRNA". It matches the Rfam family "Archaeal small subunit ribosomal RNA", at positions 187 to 918 of the family's 1478-position model. Lineage: Archaea; Thermoproteati; Nitrososphaerota. The record is from RNAcentral.